This is a long non-coding RNA of Myodes glareolus (Bank vole), 2600 nucleotides long. RefSeq lists it as uncharacterized. Lineage: Eukaryota; Metazoa; Chordata; Mammalia; Rodentia; Cricetidae. The record is from RefSeq and is a predicted model, not a curated record.
CAGAACAGAAGAAUAACAGCUCUGAGGCAUUUUGGUGAAACCACUGGAUGAAGUAUGAUUAUCAUAGCAACGUAUGAUCUCUUCCAGUCCUCACAGCAGAGGUGGCACCUUGUGGCAUGACAUCCAGCUCCUCAUGUCCUUGCUCACAGCCCGCUGAGAGAUUUACACCUCUUCCCCACAAGAGAGCAACACAGGGAGACAAUAAAGCUUGAUGAGAUGGGUGUGUGAAACAGAGGAGUGACUGCGAUGAUGAUUUUGUAGCUGCUGAUGCCCUCACAGAGAUUCCUGGAUCUGUUCCUGACCUGCAAGCUACAGAGAAAGCAAGGAAGUUCAUGGUGACGAGUGGUGGUUCCUAAUUUUUUUGGUGGACCUACUGUGCAAACUUCCAGACCUCAGUGUGCCCUGUUUACUUUCGAGCUUGUUCAGGAACAUUGACUAAAUGUUUGACAGUUUAUCCAUACUUAUAUCAUGAGAUACCAAACUCGUUUUUGCCAACAUGGUGUUCAAUCUGCUAUUGAAAUAAAGGACCUGAGAACUGAGAUUUCAAAAAAUAUUCCCCUGUGAGGGAAAGAGACUUGUUAAAGAAAUGGAACACUUAUUAUAGAGGCAAAGUGGGACUAAAACCCUUCUUCAAAAAUGGGAAAAAAUGGCAUAUAAGUCUCUGUUGCUGUUCAGAGACUGAGACAGUUCAAACUUAUCUUUAACACUUAGAAACAACAAUAUAAUUAAACUAUGGACGGAAAAAAAAGAUUCAGAGCUUACCCGUCAUAGAAACUUUUUCUUCUCUUUUGAUUAUAAUAGAUAUAAGAGAAUUGUGAUUUGACAAAUUACACAUUUAUUGUUAAUGUCUAUGCUAGAUAUUGACCUGCUAAUGCUUGUAGCUGUUUUAGUUCAUUAUGAAGGUUUUACUGAUUAGAAAAAGGUUAGAGCUUAUCUGAGAGAAUUUUGACAUUGUCAAUGAGUCUUUAGAUUUAGUAUGUUUAAAAGGACAAAUUGGGAUUUUGACUGUAGCUAAAAACUAUUAACAACAUUCUAGAUGAAUUUAAAAAGGCGAUUCUAUCUCUGAUCAUUCUCAACUCCUUCACUAAGAAAUAUUGCAACCAGAGGAGCAUGUGUAUCACAAUGUAUUAUCUGCUUGCAUACAGUUAUCUAGCUGUUUGCAAACUCUCUUGACAAACAGUUGGCUCAAAGGUGCGCACCACAACAUUGAGAUACAGUCUGAUAGGAUUAGUGUACCUGAUGGUUACAAAUCAGUUUGACAGAUUGCCUUAAUAUUGUCUGUUGUGGGAUAUUUGUACACUGUGUAAAGGUGUAUUACUGUGACUGGUUUGAUAAAGAGCUGAAUUGCCAAUUGCAAGGCAGGAGGUAUAGGCUGAACUUUUGGGUGGAGUGAAAGGAAGUUGGAAGUAAAUCUAAGUGCAUAUCAGAUGCCAAUGAGACCUAGAGAGAGUCAGAUAUACAGAAUGAAAGGUAAAAUGCCAUGAGGCAAAACAUAGAUUAAUAUAAAUGAGUUAACUUAAGGUAUAAAAGCUAGUGUGAUAAGCCUAAGCUAAUGUUGAGCUUUCAUAAUUAAUAAUGUCUCUGUGUCACUUUUUGUGAGCUGCCAACAACAAAGCUUGCUACAAAUGGCAUCUAACGUGAGCCAUGCGCACAGAGCCCUCUCCAUGCAGCAUACAGAGGUUUGGCUCUUUUAAGAGACCCAGAUGUGCAACAAGCACAUGAGUAUCCAGCAUGAUAGGUUAAAACUCCAGUCACUCAGACUCAGCAAAUUCUGAGAGAGCCGGAGUGGUAAAUGCAGCUGCUGUGGGUGCCACCAUGUGUCUAAGCUCUCGUAGAACCAAGAGGGGCAGACCUAGUCACUAGAGCCACGUGACCAUUCAAAGUUUGUCUUGCAGUCAGAGAAUGCUGUAAAGACACAGGAAGUCAGGUCCAGACUGAGGAAAAAACCUCUAAACAGAUACAGUAAGAUCUAAGCCGAAAAAUGGGCUUAGAUACUAAGGAAAGAAAAGAAAGUGAAUAUAGACAAUCAUAGAAAAAUGCUAAUGAACAGAGAACAGCUGCUGAAAGACAUUGAACUGUGGAGGAGACUCUUGAAUUAAACCAGCCUAUAUGCUUUAGGGGUGAUUUGACCUGAAAAUGGAAGUUGGACAAUGUGUUACUUUGGGGGAGAGAUUAUGUUUGUUUCCAUUGGAAAUAAAAAGCUUUGAGUUUCUUCAAAGUUGGUCAAAUCAGAUUUGAUUGGUGGAGACCUCCUAAGGCUUACGGUUACAGACAUGAGGGAAAAAGCCAAGAAAAACUACAGGACAGUUGAUAUACAUGCUGACCACUCAACAGGGGCACAGCUCUGUGACUGGCUGAGAUAUCAUAAAUAUUGUUGGCUUCAGAGUUCUCAUGAAUUAUUUUUACAUGCCAUCUUUUCAUCUGGAAUGGUAGAGAUUUAUAUCACAGUUUGGCUAUAAAGUUCAAACAGACUUAUGAAGUUGAUAGAUGCCUUUUACCUGCUCAAUCAUAGAAAGAAUACCAUCUUUAAUUUAUUGUGCACACCACACAUUCCAUACUUGUGUUAAUGCAGAUAUAUAUAUAUAUAUAUAAUAUAUAUA